RNAcentral lists this ribosomal RNA (465 nucleotides) under Vreelandella stevensii. RNAcentral's name for it is "partial 16S ribosomal RNA". It matches the Rfam family "Bacterial small subunit ribosomal RNA", at positions 338 to 795 of the family's 1533-position model. Lineage: Bacteria; Pseudomonadati; Pseudomonadota; Gammaproteobacteria; Oceanospirillales; Halomonadaceae. The record is from RNAcentral.
CCUACGUGCGGCAGCAGUGGGGAAUAUUGGACAAUGGGCGAAAGCCUGAUCCAGCCAUGCCGCGUGUGUGAAGAAGGCCUUCGGGUUGUAAAGCACUUUCAGUGGGGAAGAAAGCCUUGGGGCUAAUACCCUCGAGGAAGGACAUCACCCACAGAAGAAGCACCGGCUAACUCCGUGCCAGCAGCCGCGGUAAUACGGAGGGUGCGAGCGUUAAUCGGAAUUACUGGGCGUAAAGCGCGCGUAGGCGGUCUGAUAAGCCGGUUGUGAAAGCCCAGGGCUCAACCUGGGAACGGCAUCCGGAACUGUCAGGCUAGAGUGCAGGAGAGGAAGGUAGAAUUCCCGGUGUAGCGGUGAAAUGCGUAGAGAUCGGGAGGAAUACCAGUGGCGAAGGCGGCCUUCUGGACUGACACUGACGCUGAGGUGCGAAAGCGUGGGUAGCAAACAGGAUUAGAUACCCUAGUAGUC